ACCGACAGCACAGAGGCCACGCCCCUCCAGUCGGUCACGCCCACUGACCACGCCUCCUAGUGGUCCAGCCAAGAUGCAGAAUGGCCCAGCCCUGCCUCGGGUCGGCCAAGCCCCCUUGGCAGAAAGCCAGGGUGAAAUUUUGUAAGAAACCAGUGCAAAGGAACUUGUGAUAGCCUUCGAAGAAUGUUGUAUAAAGUUACUAUAGUCACUGCAAAAACUCUUCUUUGAUCUGGAUGUUUUAUUACCCUCACUUUAUAAAGGCCUUUGCCAGCCCGAGGGCUCUCUUCAUUCCUGCCGUCCCAGCACUCUGGGAGACUGAGGCAGGAGGACUGGAAGUUCAAGCCCACCCUGGGAGACUUAGCUAUACCCUUGCCGAAAAGCAGAAAACAAAAAGGGCUUUUGAUGUAGCUCAGUGUAAAGGUGCUGGAUUCAAUUUCCAGCCCCGCGGUAAAAUAACAGAAGAACCCGGGUCCACCUGAACUUUUGUAAAUGAACCUGGCAGAUGCGAACUCUUUUCAACAAAUCCGACCAGCAUUGUUGCUACAGGAGUUUGAGAUCAGACUCUGACUGUGUGACAGUCCUUGCUCUUGAAUCCUCCUCUAGAAAAUCUGGAGGAGAAAAAGAGUUAGGAAGUACAUGAUUUAGCAGGCACUUCUUGGAUAAGGAGCUAACUACUUCUACUGGAAAGGGCAGAGCACUAAGGAAAGCCCCAAAGGGGCAGAGGCAGAGGUGGCGACUGCCCAGAGUGUUAAUGUGUGCGUGCCUUAUUAGAAUGAAAGAGUGGUCUAGGCCUGUGGCUGGUGUGGCUUCUUUUCAUCAACUGUGAGGCUCCACCCUGGUGGCGUUUGUUUUUCUUGUUUUGUUUUGUUUUUGUUUGUUUAUUUUUCUGGUGGCGUUUUUGAAAUUAUGUAGUCCUCCUCCAAAGAACUCCAUUGGCUGAAGUCCAGGUGAGUGGCAUUCAAAGCUGCACUAUAAACGUAUGCAAAUAAGGG
Molecule: long non-coding RNA, 992 nt
Filed under: Chinchilla lanigera (long-tailed chinchilla)
Lineage: Eukaryota; Metazoa; Chordata; Mammalia; Rodentia; Chinchillidae
Description: lncRNA (ENSCLAG00000022300.1)
Source: RNAcentral